GGGGCUGACAUGGAUUUGACAGCAAGCCGAGGUGGUACGUAAGCAUGCAGAGCGUUGAUGGCUGGCUCUUAAAACUCGGCUCUCACAGAAUUAUCUGGCAACAACACUUACGCUCUCGCAGCCUAAACCGAAGUACAGUAGGUUUGCUUUAUCUCUUCACCAGGUGAGGAGACGAGACAUCGCCCUGAAAGCCACGUCCUGAGGCGGUCAGACCAGCGGUGCAGGAAAUUCAGGAAUAGUCAGCGUUGGCUCCGCAACGCCGAUGAAGUUCAAGGAGAUAAGGCAGCAGUGGAUGGUCCGGGUUCUGGCUGCUGCACGAAAAACGAAGGCCGGAAUAAGCAUGUAGAAAGCGUAUGGCUUCCUUGUUUGGACGAGGGUUCAAUCCCCUCCAGCUCCACA
Molecule: transfer-messenger RNA, 399 nt
Filed under: bovine gut metagenome
Rfam family: transfer-messenger RNA
About the family: Bacterial tmRNA, also known as 10Sa RNA or SsrA, is named for its dual tRNA and mRNA-like properties. Its role is to liberate the mRNA from a stalled ribosome. To accomplish this part of the tmRNA is used as a reading frame that ends in a translation stop signal.
Source: RNAcentral